Molecule: long non-coding RNA, 1416 nt
Filed under: Zonotrichia albicollis (white-throated sparrow)
Lineage: Eukaryota; Metazoa; Chordata; Aves; Passeriformes; Passerellidae
Description: lncRNA (ENSZALG00000007164.1)
Source: RNAcentral
UGGGAAUGGUGGGAAUGUGGGAAUGGUGGGAUUGGGAAUGGUGGGAAUGGUGGGAAUGGUGGGAAUGGUGGGAAUGGUGGGAAUGGUGGGAAUGGGAAUGGGGGAAUGGGAAUGGUGGGAAUAAAGGGAAUGGGAAUGGUGGGAAUGGUGGGAAUGUGGGAAUGGGAAUGGGGGAAUAGGAAUGGUGGGAGUGGUGGGAAUAAUGCGAUUGGGAAUGAUGGGAUUUCAUGGUCCAGGAGUAGUUGGACCAGGGGCAGGGAGUCGUCGAUGCAGCUCUGGGAAUGUAGGAAUGGGAAUGGUGGGAAUGUGGCAAUGUGGGAAUGGGAUUGGGAAUGGUGGGAUUGGGAAUGAUGGGAUUGGGAAUGAUGGGAUUGGGAAUGAUGGGAUUGGGAUUUCAUGGUCCAGGAGGAGACGGACCAGGGGAAUCGUCAAUGCAGCUCUGGGAAUGUGGGAAUGGUAGGAAUGCUGGGAAUGGUGGGAAUGGGAUGGGAAUGGGAUUGGGAAUAAUGGGAAUGGGAAUGGUGAGAAUGUGGGAAUGGUGGGAAUGGGAAUGGUGGGAUUGGGAUUUCAUGGUCCAGGAGCAGCCGGACCAGGGGCAGGGAGUCAUCAAUACAGCUCUGGGAAUGCGGGAAUGGGAAUGGAAUUGGGAAUAAUGGGAAUGGGAAUGGUGGGAAUGGGAAUGGGGGAAUGGGAAUAAUGGAAAUGGGAAUGCUGGGAAUGUGGGAAUGCUGGGAUUGGGAACGGUGGGAAUAAUGGGAUUGGGAAUGAUGGGAUUGGGAUUUCAUGGUCCAGCAGGAGACGGACCAGGGGCAGGGAGUCGUCAAUGCAGCUCUGGGAAUGUGGGAAUGGGAAUGGUGGGAAUGGGAAUGGUGGGAAUGUGGGAAUGGGAAUGAUGGGAAUGGGAAAAAUGGGAUUGGGAAUGAUGGGAAUGGGAUUCAAUGGUCCAGGAGCAGCCGGACCAGGGGCAGGGAGUCGUCAAUGCAGCUCUGGGAAUGGGAAUGGUGGGAAUGUGGGAAUGGGGUUGGGAAUGGCAGGAAUGGGAUUGGGAAUGGUGGGAAUGGGAUUGGGAAUGAUGGGAAUGGGAUUGGGAAUGGUGGGAAUGGUGGGAAUGGGAUUGGGAAUGGUGAGAAUGUGGGAAUGGGAUUGGGAAUGGGAAUGGUGGGAAUUGGAAUGGUGGGAUUGGGAUUUCAUGGUCCAGCAGGAGCCGGACCAGGGGCAGGGAGUCGUCGAUGCAGCUCUGGGAAUGGGGGAAUGGGAAUGGUGGGAAUGGUGGGAAUGUGGGAAUGGUGGGAAUGGUGGGAAUGGGAAUGGUGGGAAUAAUGGGAAUGGGAUUUCAUGGUCCAGGAGCAGCCGGACCAGGGGCAGGGAGUCGUCGAUGCAGCUCUGGGAAUGCGGGAAUGGGAAUGGUGGGAAUAA